GCUGGGGUACACGAGUGGCGAACGGGUGAGUAACACGUGGGUGACCUGCCCCGCACUUCGGGAUAAGCCUGGGAAACUGGGUCUAAUACCGGAUAGGACCGCACCGUGAGGGUGUGGUGGAAAGUUUUUCGGUGUGGGAUGGGCCCGCGGCCUAUCAGCUUGUUGGUGGGGUAAUGGCCUACCAAGGCGGCGACGGGUAGCCGGCCUGAGAGGGUGGACGGCCACAUUGGGACUGAGACACGGCCCAGACUCCUACGGGAGGCAGCAGUGGGGAAUAUUGCACAAUGGGCGGAAGCCUGAUGCAGCGACGCCGCGUGGGGGAUGACGGCCUUCGGGUUGUAAACUCCUUUCACCAUCGACGAAGGUUUUCUGACGGUAGAUGGAGAAGAAGCACCGGCUAACUACGUGCCAGCAGCCGCGGUAAUACGUAGGGUGCGAGCGUUGUCCGGAAUUACUGGGCGUAAAGAGCUCGUAGGUGGUUUGUCGCGUCGUCUGUGAAAUUCCGGGGCUUAACUCCGGGCGUGCAGGCGAUACGGGCAUAACUUGAGUACUGUAGGGGAGACUGGAAUUCCUGGUGUAGCGGUGAAAUGCGCAGAUAUCAGGAGG
Molecule: ribosomal RNA, 606 nt
Filed under: Corynebacterium xerosis
Lineage: Bacteria; Bacillati; Actinomycetota; Actinomycetes; Mycobacteriales; Corynebacteriaceae
Description: bacterial SSU rRNA
Rfam family: Bacterial small subunit ribosomal RNA
Source: RNAcentral